GAUACGAUUUUCCAAAGAAUAUCUCCGUCUGGCCGGCCGUAUGCUAAAUGUCACUAAAGCUUCGUUAACAUUGGAGUACUUUGAUUAUUAAUAAAGUUUCAUGAAACAAUAACUAGUUGAGUUUUUUUAAUAUUUUUCGUCUAAUUAAAACGGCACCGUACUUUGGAAAAAAAACUGUAAAUUAAACUUGUUAUGUUUUUGAAUUAUUUAAUUAUUUUUAAUGAAAUUUUAUUGGACCGUGAUUAACCUCAGUCUCUUAACUGGAGUUAUUAGCUUCAGUUAAGAGACGAUUCUUAGUUUUUUUUCAAGAUUUUAACUAAGAAAAAAUAAGAACUGUCUCUUAAGUAAGAAAUAUAAGAGUUGUUUUUUAGUCGAAAAGUGUAAAAAAAAAAUAAAAAAAUAAAAAUAAAAAAUGUCAAAUCAUGAAUUAGGAACCCCGACUCAGAGACUGGAUUUAAUCAUGCCCUUGGUAACAAUUUUACUCUAGAUAAAUACUAGUAAUUACAACUCAACUGAACUAAAUUCGGGUCAGACCCACCUUUCCAAUAAAAUUAGUUUUUGACCCCAAUGACCAAUCCUUCAAAUUUUGACAUGUCCUCUUUCCUUUUUUUUUUUUGGCAACUUCAUAUCCUCUUUCCUCUCUUCUUCAUUUGACCUCAUUCUUAUCUCCCUUUCCCUUUGUCCAAUUAAUUUCUAUUUUCACUCUUAACACGAAAUUCAUCCUCUUCUCGUCGUAUUCAUAACACCUCUCAUCUUCUACUAAAGGUAAGUGACCAUCAAUUUUGGAUUAGGUUUUAGA
RNAcentral lists this long non-coding RNA (799 nucleotides) under Brassica rapa (field mustard). RNAcentral describes it as "long non-coding RNA (BRAP_LNC007721)". Lineage: Eukaryota; Viridiplantae; Streptophyta; Magnoliopsida; Brassicales; Brassicaceae. The record is from RNAcentral.